AUGGAGAUGGACGGCGGCGGCGGCGUCGGCGUUGCCCGGUGGCUCUUCGAGGAGUGGGGCACCGUCUGCGCCAAGGAUGGAAACCUCCGCAAGGACGACGACGGCACCACCGCCGACGAGUACGGCGACUACUGGUGCGCGUACCUCGCGUUCGAGCUCCGUCACGGGGACGCCAGGCACGCGCGCACCGUGGCGGCACGGGCCGUGAAGACCUGCCCGCACGACGCCUCGUUGCGCGACACGGUGGAGCUCCGCCUUAGAGACGCCAUCGAGAUCGAGCAGCAGAGGCGGCAUCGGUCGGGGCUGCUUCGCACUGCCAAGAAGUGGCUCUCCAAUGUCGAGCAGAGUCGCGGCUGCUCAUCGCUCGUACCCCGGCCGCCGCAGGGGUACCAGAGGCUCCUCAGCGGCUAG
This 411-nucleotide ribosomal RNA is filed under the name Triticum aestivum (bread wheat). RNAcentral's name for it is "partial small subunit ribosomal RNA". The record is from RNAcentral. Lineage: Eukaryota; Viridiplantae; Streptophyta; Magnoliopsida; Poales; Poaceae.